RNAcentral lists this transfer RNA (74 nucleotides) under Candidatus Wildermuthbacteria bacterium RIFCSPHIGHO2_12_FULL_40_12. RNAcentral describes it as "tRNA-Gln". It matches the Rfam family "tRNA". From Rfam's summary of the family: Transfer RNA (tRNA) molecules are approximately 80 nucleotides in length. Their secondary structure includes four short double-helical elements and three loops (D, anti-codon, and T loops). Further hydrogen bonds mediate the characteristic L-shaped molecular structure. tRNAs have two regions of fundamental functional importance: the anti-codon, which is responsible for specific mRNA codon recognition, and the 3' end, to which the tRNAs corresponding amino acid is attached (by aminoacyl-tRNA synthetases). tRNAs cope with the degeneracy of the genetic code in two manners: having more than one tRNA (with a specific anti-codon) for a particular amino acid; and 'wobble' base-pairing, i.e. permitting non-standard base-pairing at the 3rd anti-codon position. Lineage: Bacteria; Candidatus Wildermuthiibacteriota. RNAcentral also lists the same sequence under 1 other name. The record is from RNAcentral.
UGGGGGAUCGUCUAAUGGUAGGACAUCACCCUUUGGAGGUGAGUAUCCUGGUUCGAGUCCAGGUCCCCCAGCUA